RNAcentral lists this long non-coding RNA (1034 nucleotides) under Microcebus murinus (gray mouse lemur). RNAcentral describes it as "lncRNA (ENSMICG00000048768.1)". The record is from RNAcentral. Lineage: Eukaryota; Metazoa; Chordata; Mammalia; Primates; Cheirogaleidae.
CUUAAGGGCAAAGCAGGUUCCCUCGAGAAAGACAAGAAAUUCUGCCAGUGCUGUAGCACCAGCUCCUGACCGAGAGUUGCCCAGCCAGAACCCACCAUUGAGUGAGUCAGUCGCUGAGAUCGGUCUGCUUCCCUGUCAGGACCCUGGCCGACACCAGGAGGAAGCGGGCACCUCUCCCUUCCAUUCAUUCUCUGGGUGCUGACUUGGAGCCGUGACAAACUCUAGACACUGCGCUAGACCCUGGGAAUGUCACAGACACGUUACGGGACAGCAGGGAACACUGGCGUGGAAAAGAUCCUCCUCCCGCAGAGGGAAGCUGUGAGGGGCCCGGAGAGACAGAGUGGAUGGCACUGAGCCGUGAUCUCUUGGGGAGAGGAGCUGCUGGCUGCGUGGUCCCAGACAAGUCUUCCAGGAGCGAGCAAAGAGCCCGCGACAAGGAGGAUGGAAGGCGGCGCGGCCGUGGGCAAGGCCUACCUGUGCACCUGGUGAUCAGCACUUACCUAGACUUCGGAGGUGAGAGGAUGGUCACAAAGAUGCACAUCAGACCUUGGUUUGAGCUGAAAGAUGAAGCCCACUCUUCCCUCAGAGAAAGUGUGUCUGAUAAGCGUGUUGGGUUGGCAGCGAGAUUGUGCCAACUUUGCCAACUGGUUACUUUGGUGGAUAUUUUCCAUCAAUCAAAUGAAUUCACUCUAUAGCUUUAAAAUUUUGUCAAAAAUAUACGUAGAGCAUAUGACAAGAGCAUUUAAUAAUUGGGGGAAAGCAUAUUGAAAUUAAUAUUUUAAUUUUUCCGAUUCUUUCUGCAUGUGUCUGGUUAAACAAAGUGCCAUUAAGUGAAAGAGUGACAGGUACAGCGUAUCCACAGCUCCCAGAUAACUCUUUGGUGCACUUCUCCAGAAACUGGUAGAGUGAAGGGCUCUCGCGACUGUGUAACAAAUCUCUGUGCAAUCCGAGUGUUUCCAACAAAGUGAAGACAUAUCAACAAGUUGAACAAAACCAAGUUGUCCAUUGACUGAUGAAUAAAUACAAUUUACAUG